AGAGUUUGAUCCUGGCUCAGGACGAACGCUGGCGGCACGCUUAACACAUGCAAGUCGAACGAGAGAAGAGGAGCUUGCUUUUCUGAUCUAGUGGCGGACGGGUGAGUAACACGUGAGCAAUCUGCCUUUCAGAGGGGGAUACCGAUUGGAAACGAUCGUUAAUACCGCAUAACAUAAUUGAACCGCAUGAUUUGAUUAUCAAAGAUUUAUCGCUGAAAGAUGAGCUCGCGUCUGAUUAGCUAGUUGGUAAGGUAACGGCUUACCAAGGCGACGAUCAGUAGCCGGACUGAGGGGUUGAUCGGCCACAUUGGGACUGAGACACGGCCCAGACUCCUACGGGAGGCAGCAGUGGGGAAUAUUGCACAAUGGAGGAAACUCUGAUGCAGCGAUGCCGCGUGAGGGAAGAAGGUUUUAGGAUUGUAAACCUCUGUCUUCAGGGACGAAAAAAGACGGUACCUGAGGAGGAAGCUCCGGCUAACUACGUGCCAGCAGCCGCGGUAAUACGUAGGGAGCGAACGUUGUCCGGAAUUACUGGGUGUAAAGGGAGCGUAGGCGGGAUCGCAAGUCAGAUGUGAAAACUAUGGGCUUAACCCAUAAACUGCAUUUGAAACUGUGGUUCUUGAGUGAAGUAGAGGUAAGCGGAAUUCCUAGUGUAGCGGUGAAAUGCGUAGAUAUUAGGAGGAACAUCAGUGGCGAAGGCGGCUUACUGGGCUUUAACUGACGCUGAGGCUCGAAAGCGUGGGGAGCAAACAGGAUUAGAUACCCUGGUAGUCCACGCCGUAAACGAUGAUUACUAGGUGUGGGGGGACUGACCCCUUCCGUGCCGCAGCAAACGCAAUAAGUAAUCCACCUGGGGAGUACGACCGCAAGGUUGAAACUCAAAGGAAUUGACGGGGGCCCGCACAAGCAGUGGAGUAUGUGGAUUAAUUCGAAGCAACGCGAAGAACCUUACCAGGUCUUGACAUCGUAUGCAUAGCUCAGAGAUGAGUGAAAUCUCUUCGGAGACAUAUAGACAGGUGGUGCAUGGUUGUCGUCAGCUCGUGUCGUGAGAUGUUGGGUUAAGUCCCGCAACGAGCGCAACCCUUACUGUUAGUUGCUACGCAAGAGCACUCUAGCAGGACUGCCGUUGACAAAACGGAGGAAGGUGGGGAUGACGUCAAAUCAUCAUGCCCCUUAUGACCUGGGCCUCACACGUACUACAAUGGCUGUCAACAGAGGGAAGCAAAGCCGCGAGGUGGAGCGAACCCCUAAAAGCAGUCUUAGUUCGGAUUGUAGGCUGCAACCCGCCUACAUGAAGUCGGAAUUGCUAGUAAUCGCAGAUCAGCAUGCUGCGGUGAGUACGUUCCCGGGCCUUGUACACACCGCCCGUCACGCCAUGGGAGUCGGUAACACCCGAAGCCUGUAGUCUAACCGCAAGGAGGACGCAGUCGAAGGUGGGAUUGAUGACUGGGGUGAAGUCGUAACAAGGUA
Molecule: ribosomal RNA, 1470 nt
Filed under: metagenome
Description: bacterial SSU rRNA
Rfam family: Bacterial small subunit ribosomal RNA
Source: RNAcentral